This 85-nucleotide signal recognition particle RNA is filed under the name Candidatus Xenolissoclinum pacificiensis L6. RNAcentral describes it as "Bacterial small signal recognition particle RNA". It matches the Rfam family "Bacterial small signal recognition particle RNA". Rfam says of the family: The signal recognition particle (SRP) is a universally conserved ribonucleoprotein involved in the co-translational targeting of proteins to membranes. The record is from Rfam by way of RNAcentral. Lineage: Bacteria; Pseudomonadati; Pseudomonadota; Alphaproteobacteria; Rickettsiales; Anaplasmataceae.
CUUUGUCUGAGUGAUGCAUGUGCCAAUCGAGUCAGGACAGAAAUGUAGCAGCUACAGUAUCAUUGUAUCAUGUCAGACAUUUUCA